Long non-coding RNA from Sinocyclocheilus rhinocerous, 1586 nucleotides. RefSeq lists it as uncharacterized. NCBI's taxonomy places the organism in Eukaryota, Metazoa, Chordata, Actinopteri, Cypriniformes, Cyprinidae. The transcript has 2 exons. The record is from RefSeq and is a predicted model, not a curated record.
UACCCAGCACUGAAACUCUCUCAUUCGCAACAGCCCAAAUGGGAUGACAGACACUGCCGUGGCCAUCAGCCCUAGAAGACGUAAACAGUCUGAAUGGAACUUUUUUCCCUUUCUGGAAAAGGGAGAGACAACCACGAAUUGACCUGAUGCGCUCCUCUGAUAGAAACGCUUGAUACAGGUCUGAGUUCAGCCUGAGACCCAGGAAAAUUAUUUCUUGCGUGGGCACUAAGCAGCUCUUCGUCUCGUUUAUUUUGAAGCCUAAGCCUUUUAAAUGAGACACAAGCAGAUUUGUAUCGAUCUCCGCCUGCCGCCGUGACGGAGUAGAGAGGAGGAGAUCGUCCAAAUAAGCUGACACUCUGAGACCCGCUAUUCUCAGCGGUGUUAGAGCCGCCUCGACACAUUUCGUGAAAGUUCUUGGGGCUAAUGCCAAACCGAACAGAACUGUCAAAAAUUCGUAGGCUGUGCCCUGAUAGGCAAACCUGAGGAAUUUUCUGUGUGCCGGAUAAAUACUUUUGUGAAAAUAAGCGUCCUUCACAUCUACUGAUGUAAACCAGUCUCUGGGACGAAUAACAUUGUAUAAUUUUUUUUAUUGGUGUACUGCGCAUGCGCGCCAACUCUCCGCGUGAGCAGAGAGCGCUGUAGCUCUCGCUCACUGAUGGUGCGGCGCUAUGAUCUAGCGGCAGAUCUGGGGGUUGCAGCUCUGAUCUGAGAGUAUUUGUGUGUAUUUUUGUUUUUAUUUUCACACAAAUCUGUGCCCUUGGCCCACUAACUGGAUGCACAGUAAACAUUUUUAUUUCUUUCAAAUGGGAACACGUGUAAACCUUCGUCCUCUCUCUUGCAUAACCCACCUUUAUGAGAGUCUUUAGACAAAAUCAUAGACCCGCAAGCACACGGGCGAGAGGGAUAUUUUCCCUUCGCUGUGCCACUGGAUGGGCUCGCAGUCGCCAUAACAGAGAUGAAAAAACUCCGGGAGAUUAACGAGAUCACCACAAUGUGCCUCUCGAUAUCGGGUCUUACAGCAAUUAUUCCCUUAACGUGAAGGAAUAAUUGAGAGAAAGGAGCUGUAACUGCUCGAUAAAGAAAAUGAGAAUCCACCUUGAUGCGCUGGUCACCACCACAAAGAUAUAGAUAUAGCAGAAAGAAAAUAUUCACUUUGACAGAUAAUAUUUCCCCCCCAAAACAAAAAGCAGCUGCGUUCGAGGAUCUGCUGAGGAUAGCUUCCAAUAAGGAUCUUCACGGGGAAGAGAACGAGAAUGAUGUAGGGACCGCUAGCAGCGAUAUAUAUGAGGGAGGCGGGACUCCUGCAUCACUGUCGUGAUUGGUCUGUCAACCGACAGACAUGGUGUAAUUGGUGCUUCCAAGAUUGGUCACGCCCGAGGCGAUUCCCAUAGUGAGAUACCGAACGAAUGUUUGAAAGAGAACUCAUCAGAAUGAUAAAGGACAACAGGACACUAAGGUCAUAGAGUGGGUGGGCAUAUCAAAGAGCAAAAAGAAGAGAAUGUUCCUGUGCUGAGGCUUCCUCCAUCGAUGUUGUGGUCUAUCCUUGCACAUUAUGCCUCCAGCACAAGGAUGAUCAAACAAGGUCU